UCCGGCUUGACGCCGGCAGUCCCCCGAGAGUCCUCAGCUUGACCUGUUAGUAACACGGGGCAAGGGUUGCGCUCGUUGCGGGACUUAACCCAACAUCUCACGACACGAGCUGACGACAGCCAUGCAGCACCUGUGCACGUGUCCCGAAGGAGGGCCCUGCUUUCACAGGGCUUUCACGUGCAUGUCAAACCCAGGUAAGGUGGGGAUGACGUCCUUGCUAGGUAA
This 225-nucleotide unclassified non-coding RNA is filed under the name uncultured Gemmatimonadota bacterium. RNAcentral's name for it is "uncultured Gemmatimonadetes bacterium contains 16S-23S intergenic spacer region". The record is from RNAcentral. Lineage: Bacteria; Pseudomonadati; Gemmatimonadota.